Molecule: antisense RNA, 194 nt
Filed under: Erwinia mallotivora
Lineage: Bacteria; Pseudomonadati; Pseudomonadota; Gammaproteobacteria; Enterobacterales; Erwiniaceae
Description: Yersinia sRNA 251
Rfam family: Yersinia sRNA 251
About the family: Antisense to phoH gene.
Source: Rfam by way of RNAcentral
CGUAGGCCAGCAGCGUACGUUGACAAAGCUGAGAGCGUACACAGUCUUCUUUGGCAAAACGCACCACGCCAAUCAUAUCGUCCUCUUCAAAACGCGCCAGGGCAUCGCCCAGGCCGGACUUCACAUGAGAUGGCAGAUCACACUGGGUAAUAUCGCCGUUAACGAUAACCGUUACAUUUUCGCCAAGGCGGGUC